Molecule: ribosomal RNA, 208 nt
Filed under: uncultured bacterium
Lineage: Bacteria
Description: partial 16S ribosomal RNA
Rfam family: Bacterial small subunit ribosomal RNA
Source: RNAcentral
CGCGUAGGCGGCUUGUACAGUCAGACGUGAAAUUCCUGGGCUCAACCUGGGGGCUGCGUUUGAUACGUGCAGACUUGAGUUCGGAAGAGGGUCGUGGAAUUCCCAGUGUAGAGGUGAAAUUCGUAGAUAUUGGGAAGAACACCGGUGGCGAAGGCGGCGACCUGGUCCGAUACUGACGCUGAGGCGCGAAAGCGUGGGGAAGCAAACA